RNAcentral lists this ribosomal RNA (398 nucleotides) under uncultured bacterium. RNAcentral describes it as "partial 16S ribosomal RNA". It matches the Rfam family "Bacterial small subunit ribosomal RNA", at positions 523 to 918 of the family's 1533-position model. The record is from RNAcentral.
AUACGUAGGGUGCGAGCGUUGUCCGGAAUUACUGGGCGUAAAGAGCUCGUAGGUGGUUUGUCGCGUCGUCUGUGAAAUUCCGGGGCUUAACUCCGGGCGUGCAGGCGAUACGGGCAUAACUUGAGUACUGUAGGGGAGACUGGAAUUCCUGGUGUAGCGGUGAAAUGCGCAGAUAUCAGGAGGAACACCGGUGGCGAAGGCGGGUCUCUGGGCAGUAACUGACGCUGAGGAGCGAAAGCAUGGGUAGCGAACAGGAUUAGAUACCCUGGUAGUCCAUGCCGUAAACGGUGGGCGCUAGGUGUAGGGGUCUUCCACGACUUCUGUGCCGUAGCUAACGCAUUAAGCGCCCCGCCUGGGGAGUACGGCCGCAAGGCUAAAACUCAAAUGAAUGGACGGGG